CAGCAGCCGCGGGAAUACGGAGGGUGCGAGCGUUAAUCGGAUUUACUGGGCGUAAAGCGUGCGUAGGCGGCUAAUUGAGUCGGAUGUGAAAUCCCCGAGCUUAACUUGGGAAUUGCAUUCGAUACUGGUUAGCUAGAGUGUGGGAGAGGAUGAUAGAAUUCCAGGUGUAGCGGUGAAAUGCGUAGAGAUCUGGAGGAAUACCGAUGGCGAAGGCAGCCAUCUGGCCUAACACUGACGCUGAGGUACGAAAGCAUGGGGAGCAAACAGGAUUAGAGACCCGAGUAGUCCCUGUCUCUUAUAC
Molecule: ribosomal RNA, 301 nt
Filed under: uncultured bacterium
Lineage: Bacteria
Description: partial 16S ribosomal RNA
Rfam family: Bacterial small subunit ribosomal RNA
Source: RNAcentral